Solanum lycopersicum (tomato) is the source of this 2113-nucleotide long non-coding RNA. RefSeq lists it as uncharacterized. Lineage: Eukaryota; Viridiplantae; Streptophyta; Magnoliopsida; Solanales; Solanaceae. The record is from RefSeq and is a predicted model, not a curated record.
AGAAGAAGAAGGUAGAGAGCGAAGAAAGCAAAAAAGAGCAAAAAAUCUACAACCUGCAAAUCUUAAUCCCUCCAAAGAUCCUUCCUCUUUAAAAAUAAAAUAUAAAAAUAUUUUCUUUAGGUUCUUAGGUUUUGUCAAGUUUUUGUAAAGUUACUUUGGAAGUCGUUCGGGUUUUCCGAAAGGGAAACUUCACUCUAUUCUAGAUAAUGUACAAUAAAUGGAGUUAUUAUUUGUAAGAAUUGAUUGUCGUGGUGAAUGGGUAGACAAGACAAAUCGAUUCAUUUGGUGUUGGAAGGAUAGUAAUAAACAAGGAGCCCAUUCAGUAGGGAUGUAUGUCAAAAGAAAUAUUUUGCAUGAUGAUUUCUUCAAUUUAGUCGUGAAUAAGUCUAGGUAAAAUUGUCAACUGGAAGAUCUUGUCAUGAGUUACAUUCCCCAUUUUUUCAUAAUGAGAAGAUUUUACCGUUUAGAAUAAUUGGUCAACCUAGUUUGCUUGUUUAGUUGGUAGGAGCAGUCACCCAUAUUAAGAGAUUACGCGGAAGAAAAUCCUAUCAGGAUGAUCCUAAUGUAGACGAACGCCAAAAAGAUAUGUUAAAUGAUGAAUUUGAUCCCAUGGAUAUGAAUAAUCCCGAUGAUGAAAUUGGAAUAGGUGAAAAUGAAGGGUUGGACCUUGAGAGCAACAUUCUUCCUACACCUAUAGUUGGCAACAACAUUCAUGCGCUUCUCAAUCAUCACGCGUGAAUAAUGUUCGAGAUGAUGACACACAUUGUUAUAAAGGAAUGACAUUCAAGAACAAGAUAGAACUGGUAAAUUCAUUGAAAAUUUCUUGCUUGAAAAAAAUAUUUCAGACUGAAAAAGGUGAUCAAUUCUUGUAAUGUGUUUUCUUUUUAAAUGUUCAUAUAUGAAUUGCAAUUGGUGACUGAAGGCUGUGAAAUUUACAAGUAGCAACAGGUUUACCAUUAGUAUCUACGAAAAAUACCAUACGUGUGGUUCAAAGCAUGUUACAAGCCAUAAUCCCCAUGUCAUAACAAAAGUCAUAGGGAAGUAGAUUUCCCAAUGGUAAAGGCCCAUCCACAAGAGACGUGUCAAAUCAACUCUGGACAGAAUUGGGUAUAAGGUAAGUUAUUGGAAGAUUUAUAAGGGCAUGGAGAAUACUAAAUCUAAUGUCAGGGGAACACAUGAGCACGAGUAUGUAGUGCUUAAUGCGUAUUGUUGUAUGCUUGAAGUUGCAAAUCCAGGAAGCAAGACGGUAUUGUCGCUUGAUGAAAAUGGGAGGUUCUUGGAUAACUGGUUUUCAAGAAAUGAGAAAAGUAAUAGUCAUUUAUGGCACAUUCCUGAAGAGAAGUGUGGAGGAGUUUUCUUAUCGGCGGUAGAACAAGAUGAUGAGAAUCAUAUAUUUUCAUUGGCUUUUUGUGUCGUAGACAUGGAAUGUGAUACCUCAUAAGGAAAAAAAAUUAAAAUAUGAGAAGCUUUGUAGAUGGUACUAAUGAGUUAUGCAUUAUUUCUAAUAGGCAUCAAGUAUUCGAAAGAUGGUUACGAGAAUCUACCUUGCAUCUCAUUUUACCUAAUACACCUUAGGAAAAAUAUUCUAAAUAACUUUCACAGUUCAAAGGUAGUGUCCCGUUUUUAUAAAGUAACAAAGGCGUAGGAUAGAGGUGAGUUCAAUGAUCAUUUCAAUCAAAUAAGAGAUUUGGUACCAAAGGCGGCUAAAGUUCUUGAACGUAUUGGAUUCGAUACAUGGAGUAAGGCAUUUUCCCAGGAAAAGGAGAUUUGCAUUGUCAUUUCACCAGAGGCGUAUGGAGUUGGUGCACUCUGCAAAUAGAUUUGUUCCCUCGAUUGAAAAAGACAUAUCAGAGUAUGUCAACUGAGGCAACAAGUUGUUGGCUCAUCAAAUCGCUAACUACAAGUUCAGUGUUACUGGUCAUGGUGAUGCUUCUACUACAAAUCUACAAAAAAGAAAUUGUACUUGUAGAAUUUUUGACUUGACAAAAUACCUUGUCCACAUGCCAUGGCAGCGCUUUGAUCUCAACAUGGUGCCGAUUUUAGAAAACAAAUUUAUGUGUACUUUUUUCCAUAUUAUUCUGUGGAAAAAUACAUAAUGGCAUAUUGUCAGGAA